Xenia sp. Carnegie-2017 is the source of this 1089-nucleotide long non-coding RNA. RefSeq lists it as uncharacterized. NCBI's taxonomy places the organism in Eukaryota, Metazoa, Cnidaria, Anthozoa, Malacalcyonacea, Xeniidae. The transcript has 5 exons. The record is from RefSeq and is a predicted model, not a curated record.
UGUAAACCCUCGAGAGAGUCAUAAGCACGCUCGUUGCUUAUGCUUGUGAUUACGUAGAUGUUAAUGUUCCAACUUUUGCUUAUUGUUUUUCUUUAACACUUUAUUGACACUUGACACAACAUUCAAAAUAGAUAUAUUCUAUUCAAACAGUUCAUGAAAAAAAUUAUUGCUUUGUUCAGACAGUUGGAUUGGCUGGAUUUGAACAGGACGUUCUAUACGAGAAGGGAUUACGUUGGUUUUAUUCAGUUAUUUUGGGGAUGAUUGACGUAUUAUCAGUGUACCGUAUGUCAAGAAGCAUCCUAUGGUGAUACAGCAUUCGUUCUCCGCAAGAAUAUUUCUCUCCACAUAUCUGUUGUAAAAGAGUGAAAGACAAAUAAUAUUUUAAAGAACAUAUAAAGUUUUUUUUGAAAGCUGAAACAAGCAAUAUCGUUAAAAUGGAUAAAGUUCAAGAACUUUCUGAAGCACUGCCUUUACCAAGUCAGCCAUUCUUAAACGUCGAAGUAAAUGAAUGCAAAGAAAGUUGAGUGAGUCUGUGUUAGUGAAACCAUGCUACAGGUGAAACUAGGUAAUGAACAAAUCAUGUUUUUGUUUUGUAAAGAAACUUGAAUAAUUUUAAUAUGUUACUAGAUUGACGUCACUGGUCAUAUGUUGUGCUUCAACAGACUCACUUCUUCAAAUACCACUGUGCUGUCAAAACGUGAACAAAACCAUUUAUUCAAUUUAAUAAUAAGCAUUAACAUCUUAAUAGUAUUUACCACUUUAUUUUAGCACUAUCCCAGAGUAUAGAAUUAUAAAGCUUGUCAAAGACUUUCUUAUCAACAUGAAAACAAUUCAUGGCGACUCAUGUUUCGUAGAAUUUGUUGAUCCUUUUUAAUGGAACAUGUCAAGAGCAUAACUAUUGUGUAUGACACAGAUAAUUUUUCAACAUAUGGCAAGAUAAUUGAUUUGAAAAAAGUUAUGCUAAAGUAUCAUGUCUAUCAACUUCAUGAUGGGGGGCAUGGAUAUGAAGAACUUGAAGAACUCCAUCUUUUUAAAAUCACUCCCAAACAAUGACAUUUUCAAAGUAUAUAUUAGUCACGUGUUUGAAUC